RNAcentral lists this ribosomal RNA (121 nucleotides) under Klebsiella pneumoniae. RNAcentral's name for it is "partial 23S ribosomal RNA". It matches the Rfam family "Bacterial large subunit ribosomal RNA", at positions 2820 to 2925 of the family's 2925-position model. RNAcentral also lists the same sequence under 1 other name. Lineage: Bacteria; Pseudomonadati; Pseudomonadota; Gammaproteobacteria; Enterobacterales; Enterobacteriaceae. The record is from RNAcentral.
UUUAAGUCUCCUGAAGGAACGUUGAAGACGACGACGUUGAUAGGCCGGGUGUGUAAGCGCAGCGAUGCGUUGAGCUAACCGGUACUAAUGAACCGUGAGGCUUAACCUUACAACGCCGAAG